UUAGUGCAAUGAAGAAAAACUGGGUGAAGGAUGAAUGAAAGCAGCNGGCACCGAAUAAUUUAAGAUGGGGACAUGCGAAGAAGCAGAGAAAGGAAAGAACUGAACUUGAAGGUCAAAGAAGAGAGAAAAAUUAACUUUAAACAGGGAAGUGUUGAAAAGCUUCCCACUUGGUGAACAUCUGUCCAAAGGUUCCGAAGUUGUACCUGUCAUGUCUGACAGAGUCUCCAGUUCUCGGGCAGCAGAAGGCCCCAGAGCGAUGGUGUGGAUGAUGGCACCNCUNCGAGAGACNGUCUCAAAGCANGAACUUAUUCCAUUAUCUUCCCCAUCUGUCAGCAAUACGAUCUCAGAACCGGAAGUGCUCUGGUGACUGGAGGUCAGAAUACUAUUAAAUGAGUGAACUCUGAAUUUAGGACCCUAUUCAAAUCCAGGAAACAGGGCAAGGGAGGAGGUGGAAAGAGCCUUAGAGCUGGAGCUGUGAGGCGCCCUCUACUGGCCAUGACGUGGUCACUGCACUAUGAACUCAGCUCUGGACACCUGCACAAGAUCAAGUCAGGCAACAUUUAUCCAGCACCAAGCACACCACUCGCCUUCUGGAUUUGAGCAGUGAAAAUGUAGGUGGAGGCGGAGCU
This 629-nucleotide long non-coding RNA is filed under the name Mus caroli (Ryukyu mouse). RNAcentral's name for it is "lncRNA (MGP_CAROLIEiJ_G0003464.1)". The record is from RNAcentral. Lineage: Eukaryota; Metazoa; Chordata; Mammalia; Rodentia; Muridae.